ACCAGACGAUGCGGUUACCGCGGCUGCUGGCACGGAGUUAGCCGGUGCUUCUUCUGCGAGUAACGUCACAGAUGUAAGGUAUUAACUUACACCCUUUCCUCCUCGCUGAAAGUGCUUUACAACCCGAAGGCCUUCUUCACACACGCGGCAUGGCUGCAUCAGGGUUUCCCCCAUUGUGCAAUAUUCCCCACUGCUGCCUCCCGUAGGAGUCUGGGCCGUGUCUCAGUCCCAGUGUGGCUGAUCAUCCUCUCAGACCAGCUAGGGAUCGUCGCCUAGGUGAGCCUUUACCUCACCUACUAGCUAAUCCCACCUGGGCUUAUCCAUCAGCGCAAGGCCCG
RNAcentral lists this ribosomal RNA (338 nucleotides) under uncultured bacterium. RNAcentral describes it as "partial 16S ribosomal RNA". The record is from RNAcentral.